Non-coding RNA from Pongo abelii (Sumatran orangutan), 147 nucleotides. Lineage: Eukaryota; Metazoa; Chordata; Mammalia; Primates; Hominidae. The record is from Rfam.
GCCAGGUGUGGUGGCGCACAUCUAUAGUCCAGCUACUUGGGAGGCUGAGAUGGGAGGAUUGCUUCAGCCCAGGAGGUCGAGGCUGUAGUGAGCUAUGAUUGUGCCUCUGCACUCCAGCCUGGGUGGCAGAGUGAGACCCCAUCUCAA